RNAcentral lists this ribosomal RNA (759 nucleotides) under uncultured Stenotrophomonas sp. RNAcentral describes it as "bacterial SSU rRNA". It matches the Rfam family "Bacterial small subunit ribosomal RNA", at positions 28 to 776 of the family's 1533-position model. Lineage: Bacteria; Pseudomonadati; Pseudomonadota; Gammaproteobacteria; Lysobacterales; Lysobacteraceae. The record is from RNAcentral.
AGUGAACGCUGGCGGUAGGCCUAACACAUGCAAGUCGAACGGCAGCACAGAGGAGCUUGCUCCUUGGGUGGCGAGUGGCGGACGGGUGAGGAAUACAUCGGAAUCUACUCUGUCGUGGGGGAUAACGUAGGGAAACUUACGCUAAUACCGCAUACGACCUACGGGUGAAAGCAGGGGAUCUUCGGACCUUGCGUGAUUGAAUGAGCCGAUGUCGGAUUAGCUAGUUGGCGGGGUAAAGGCCCACCAAGGCGACGAUCCGUAGCUGGUCUGAGAGGAUGAUCAGCCACACUGGAACUGAGACACGGUCCAGACUCCUACGGGAGGCAGCAGUGGGGAAUAUUGGACAAUGGGCGCAAGCCUGAUCCAGCCAUACCGCGUGGGUGAAGAAGGCCUUCGGGUUGUAAAGCCCUUUUGUUGGGAAAGAAAUCCAGCCGGCUAAUACCUGGUUGGGAUGACGGUACCCAAAGAAUAAGCACCGGCUAACUUCGUGCCAGCAGCCGCGGUAAUACGAAGGGUGCAAGCGUUACUCGGAAUUACUGGGCGUAAAGCGUGCGUAGGUGGUUAUUUAAGUCCGUUGUGAAAGCCCUGGGCUCAACCUGGGAACUGCAGUGGAUACUGGAUGACUAGAAUGUGGUAGAGGGUAGCGGAAUUCCUGGUGUAGCAGUGAAAUGCGUAGAGAUCAGGAGGAACAUCCAUGGCGAAGGCAGCUACCUGGACCAACAUUGACACUGAGGCACGAAAGCGUGGGGAGCAAACAGG